UAGCACAGAGAGCUUGCUCUCGGGUGACGAGCGGCGGACGGGUGAGUAAUGUCUGGGAAACUGCCUGAUGGAGGGGGAUAACUACUGGAAACGGUAGCUAAUACCGCAUAACGUCGCAAGACCAAAGUGGGGGACCUUCGGGCCUCAUGCCAUCAGAUGUGCCCAGAUGGGAUUAGCUAGUAGGUGGGGUAACGGCUCACCUAGGCGACGAUCCCUAGCUGGUCUGAGAGGAUGACCAGCCACACUGGAACUGAGACACGGUCCAGACUCCUACGGGAGGCAGCAGUGGGGAAUAUUGCACAAUGGGCGCAAGCCUGAUGCAGCCAUGCCGCGUGUGUGAAGAAGGCCUUCGGGUUGUAAAGCACUUUCAGCGGGGAGGAAGGCGUUAAGGUUAAUAACCUUGGCGAUUGACGUUACCCGCAGAAGAAGCACCGGCUAACUCCGUGCCAGCAGCCGCGGUAAUACGGAGGGUGCAAGCGUUAAUCGGAAUUACUGGGCGUAAAGCGCACGCAGGCGGUCUGUCAAGUCGGAUGUGAAAUCCCCGGGCUCAACCUGGGAACUGCAUUCGAAACUGGCAGGCUAGAGUCUUGUAGAGGGGGGUAGAAUUCCAGGUGUAGCGGUGAAAUGCGUAGAGAUCUGGAGGAAUACCGGUGGCGAAGGCGGCCCCCUGGACAAAGACUGACGCUCAGGUGCGAAAGCGUGGGGAGCAAACAGGAUUAGAUACCCUGGUAGUCCACGCCGUAGACGAUGUCGAUUUGGAGGUUGUGCCCUUGAGGCGUGGCUUCCGGAGCUAACGCGUUAAAUCGACCGCCUGGGGAGUACGGCCGCAAGGUUAAAACUCAAAUGAAUUGACGGGGGCCCGCACAAGCGGUGGAGCAUGUGGUUUAAUUCGAUGCAACGCGAAGAACCUUACCUGGUCUUGACAUCCACAGAACUUUCCAGAGAUGGAUUGGUGCCUUCGGGAACUGUGAGACAGGUGCUGCAUGGCUGUCGUCAGCUCGUGUUGUGAAAUGUUGGGUUAAGUCCCGCAACGAGCGCAAC
RNAcentral lists this ribosomal RNA (1041 nucleotides) under Klebsiella pneumoniae. RNAcentral describes it as "bacterial SSU rRNA". It matches the Rfam family "Bacterial small subunit ribosomal RNA", at positions 68 to 1102 of the family's 1533-position model. Lineage: Bacteria; Pseudomonadati; Pseudomonadota; Gammaproteobacteria; Enterobacterales; Enterobacteriaceae. The record is from RNAcentral.